This 301-nucleotide ribosomal RNA is filed under the name uncultured bacterium. RNAcentral describes it as "partial 16S ribosomal RNA". It matches the Rfam family "Bacterial small subunit ribosomal RNA", at positions 509 to 807 of the family's 1533-position model. The record is from RNAcentral.
CAGUAGCCGCGGUAAUACGAAGGGUGCAAGCGCUAAUCGGAAUUACUGGGCGUAAAGCGUGCGUAGGCGGUGAGUUAAGUCUGCUGUGAAAUCCCCGGGCUCAACCUGGGAAUGGCAGUGGAUACUGGCUCGCUAGAGUGUGUCAGAGGAUGGUGGAAUUCCCGGUGUAGCGGUGAAAUGCGUAGAGAUCGGGAGGAACAUCAGUGGCGAAGGCGGCCAUCUGGGACAACACUGACGCUGAGGCACGAAAGCGUGGGGAGCAAACAGGAUUAGAUACCCGCGUAGUCCCUGUCUCUUAUAC